CGAAAGAUCAAAGAUUUGUUGUAUUUGAAAUUAUAUGUUUUGAAUUGAUUUGGGAGGCUCGUAUUAGAAAACCGUAGUUAACAGCGGUUAUGACGUUAACCUAGAUGCAUCUGGCUCAGACCUCAGCUAGCAGGAGCGUUGUUAGCCUAACGUGUAGGCCACACGUUAGAUCUGUUAUUCCGUACGGACACACUAGAGAAAAGGGCUACCCAUAGAGGUGGAGCCGCCCAAGUGUGGACUUUUGAUUUGAUUUCUCUAUGAGAACUCCCUUAUUGAUUCACUUAUUAUCAACUAUUAUUUUCUAAUUAAAAUUAUUUUGAUGAUAAUGUUUGUAUAGUCUCAUGUCGAUUAUAGAUGUAUUGUCUAGUCACUGAAUUGCAAAACUCACUCUUUUUUUUUUAAAAAAAAUAUUUUUUCAGGAAUAAGUACUUGAUUAUGUGAGCCUUUCUAUUCAAGAGUAAUGAUCUGCAAUGGGCUCUAUUCCUUGUUGAGUUCUUAGACGUCAUCUGCUCCAUAUGUCACAGGCAGGAUCCAUCUAUAUUUAUUUAUUUUAUUUUUGUUAAAGUAUGUAAUUAUUCAUUCUAAAAAGUGUAAAUUUAUCAAAAAUUAUUUGUAACCUUUUUAUUUAUCUUAUAUUCGAAUCUGUUAGGCUUGCCAGGGAACUCUUUUUCCUGAGCGCCAGUCAUGGCUCAUUUUGGGUUGUGACAGAGUGGUAUCAGAGCUUAGGUUUAAUCUGUGUAAUAUGGAGCAAGUGUCUUAUGGUAGGAUCACAAUUGUAUAAAUAGAAGCGCGCCUAUUUGUACAAAUUGUGGUACUAUUAGAGGCCUAUAGGAAUGUCAUCCUUCUCUUUUUGUCAUUCUUGUCUCUUGGUUCUUGUCAUCAUGAGUCAUCUGUCGAUUCUUGCCACCUCUUUUCUCUUUGUAUCCAUCCUUGAGUUAUUAUUUGGUAACUUUUCUUGAACUUACUUUUGCAAUUGUUUCAGUUUCGGUUUUGGUUCACGAUUCUUGCCUUGUAGCUAGUUCUAAUCUUCCUCGCUUUUGUGAAUAAUUGCUUUAAUCUUCUUUAUCUUCAUGUUGUUUUCUAUGGGUUCUGAUUUCAAGAUUUCAUCCAUUAUCUAGAAGAUUUGAUAUGUUUUUGCUGUGAAUUAUUAUCUUAUUCCUCUUAUAAAACAGUAUUUGAAUUUGUGGAUUGUGGAUUUGCUUAGCUGCUAAUUGAGAUGCUUUCUUCUGGAUUUGAUGAUCUUUGAAGCUAACAUAAUUUUGAUUCGCUAUUGAUUCCUUCUUUUAAAUCAAUAAUUUGUAAAAUUUUUAUUUUGUUGCUCAAGGAGAAGGAGUAUGUGAUGAAACAUAUGAAUAGAGUGUUAUUGUUGUUUGUUCGAUUGGAGAUUUUCAUUGCUUAAAUUUAGUGAAUUAUUUGGGUGAUCACUUAGCUGAAUCGAAAGUCUUUUCCGAUCUAGAAGUUUGGUUGUGCUUUUCUAAUUUGAUGAUCUAGUUUUGUUAUGGUGCUUUGUUGCUGAAUAUGACUUUUCUUUCACGGAACUAUUUCUUGCUUGAUAAGUUGAGAGACAGAUUGUGAACGUUUACUUUUUGGUUGGUGAUUAUAAGGUGAAUUUUGCUUUUGACUAAGAUCUGAAAUUUGAGAAUUUUCUCAACCCAUGGUUUUCUAAAAGUUUUCUUAUUCUCAACUAUUGUCCUUAUUCUCAGAGAUUUAGGGAGAUUGAUUUUCUUGAUUUGUAGAGCCUUUGUGAUAUUGAAUUGUAUAUCUUAGAGAUUGGAAAGAAUUGUUGGCGAUUUCUUAUAAAAAUGACUAGAUAUCUAAUUUCUUAAAGCCAAAUAAAUUUCUUAUACGAGUUUUUUCCCUUGUUACAUUCAACUAAUUAUUAUAAACCAUGCUCUUUUUUUAUUAUGUACCCCUUAAUAACUCUAGUUUUAAAAUUAUCUAAUUUCUCAACAAGACCUAAUGUUUCAUGAUUCACAUUUGGUUGGAUUCGUGGAAU
Molecule: long non-coding RNA, 1996 nt
Filed under: Arachis ipaensis
Lineage: Eukaryota; Viridiplantae; Streptophyta; Magnoliopsida; Fabales; Fabaceae
Description: long non-coding RNA (AIPA_LNC002605)
Source: RNAcentral